This 360-nucleotide long non-coding RNA is filed under the name Olea europaea subsp. europaea. The record is from RNAcentral. Lineage: Eukaryota; Viridiplantae; Streptophyta; Magnoliopsida; Lamiales; Oleaceae.
UUAAGGUUUUCAUUAUUCUUGCUAGCACAAGAGAAAACCCUAGAGGCUGCAAUCAAAUUCUCUGUGUGGAUCACCGUUGGAGGCUGGACAAUUGGACAGCUGUGGUGGCGAAUCAAAGUUGUGGAACAAAAGAAAAGCAAAAGGAUUGCAGAUCUGGAAAAGGUACAAUCCUAUCACAAUUCCUAACCAAACACAAUGAGAUCUAUUGGAUGGGAAUCGAAAUAUAUUUUAAAUUCCGCUGUGCAUGUAUAAGUAGAUUCCCAACAGUUAGAUCAGAUGAAUCUCUUGAAACAAAAUAAUAUGGUAGCACGUCUAAAUCUUUCUUUCUUUCUAACUUGGCUGCCGAUUUUAUAAAUUUCU